GCGGAGGAAAAGAAACCAACAGGGAUUGCCUUAGUAACGGCGAGUGAAGCGGCAACAGCUCAAAUUUGAAAUCUGGUCCCCUUUGGGGGCCCGAGUUGUAAUUUGAAGAGGAUGCUUUUGGCGAGGCGCCGUCCGAGUUCCCUGGAACGGGACGCCGCAGAGGGUGAGAGCCCCGUACGGUCGGACGCCGAGCCUCUGUAAAGCUCCUUCGACGAGUCGAGUAGUUUGGGAAUGCUGCUCAAAAUGGGAGGUAAACCCCUUCUAAAGCUAAAUACUGGCCAGAGACCGAUAGCGCACAAGUAGAGUGAUCGAAAGAUGAAAAGCACUUUGAAAAGAGAGUUAAAAAGCACGUGAAAUUGUUAAAAGGGAAGCGCUUGCGACCAGACUUGCGCCCGUCGGAUCAACCGUCGCUUGCGGCGGCGCACUCCGGCGGGCUCAGGCCAGCAUCAGUUCGUCCGGGGGGAGAAAGGCGGCGGGAAUGUGGCUCUUCGGAGUGU
This 497-nucleotide small RNA is filed under the name Scopulariopsis koningii. Its description in RNAcentral is "eukaryotic LSU rRNA". It matches the Rfam family "Eukaryotic large subunit ribosomal RNA", at positions 50 to 552 of the family's 3401-position model. The record is from RNAcentral. Lineage: Eukaryota; Fungi; Ascomycota; Sordariomycetes; Microascales; Microascaceae.